RNAcentral lists this ribosomal RNA (596 nucleotides) under uncultured bacterium. Its description in RNAcentral is "bacterial SSU rRNA". The stretch from base 1 to 529 matches the Rfam family "Bacterial small subunit ribosomal RNA", at positions 338 to 873 of the family's 1533-position model. The record is from RNAcentral.
CCUACGGGAGGCAGCAGUAAGGAAUAUUGGUCAAUGGACGAAAGUCUGAACCAGCCAUGCCGCGUGAAGGAUGACGGCCCUCUGGGUUGUAAACUUCUUUUAUAGGGGACGAAAAAAGGGUAUUCUUACUCACUUGACGGUACCCUAGGAAUAAGCACCGGCUAACUCCGUGCCAGCAGCCGCGGUAAUACGGAGGGUGCAAGCGUUAUCCGGAUUCACUGGGUUUAAAGGGUGCGUAGGUGGGUCUAUAAGUCAGUGGUGAAAUCUCCGAGCUUAACUCGGAAACUGCCAUUGAUACUAUAGGCCUUGAAUUAUCUGGAGGUAAGCGGAAUAUGUCAUGUAGCGGUGAAAUGCUUAGAUAUGACAUAGAACACCAAUUGCGAAGGCAGCUUACUACGGAUAUAUUGACACUGAGGCACGAAAGCGUGGGGAUCAAACAGGAUUAGAUACCCUGGUAGUCCACGCCCUAAACUAUGGAUACUCGACAUCAGCGAUACACUGUUGUGUCUGNGNGAGANAUAUAUCCACCAGAGACGACGCGAGUAGAAGUAAAGUAAGUAGAGNGNGAGAGNGCGACGACGACGACGAGGAGGAGG